GAUGAACGCUGGCGGCGUGCCUAAUACAUGCAAGUAGAACGCUGAAGGAAGGAGCUUGCUCUUUCCGGAUGAGUUGCGAACGGGUGAGUAACGCGUAGGUAACCUGCCUGGUAGCGGGGGAUAACUAUUGGAAACGAUAGCUAAUACCGCAUAACAGUAGAUGUUGCAUGAUAUCUACUUAAAAGGUGCAAUUGCACCACUACCAGAUGGACCUGCGUUGUAUUAGCUAGUUGGUGAGGUAACGGCUCACCAAGGCGACGAUACAUAGCCGACCUGAGAGGGUGAUCGGCCACACUGGGACGGAGACACGGCCCAGACUCCUACGGGAGGCAGCAGUAGGGAAUCUUCGGCAAGGGACGGAAGUCUGACCGAGCAACGCCGCGUGAGUGAAGAAGGUUUUCGGAUCGUAAAGAUCCGUUGUAAGAGAAGAACGAGUGUGAGAGUGGAAAGUUCACACUGUGACGGUAUCUUACCAGAAAGGGACGGCUAACUACGUG
RNAcentral lists this ribosomal RNA (497 nucleotides) under uncultured bacterium. RNAcentral describes it as "partial 16S ribosomal RNA". It matches the Rfam family "Bacterial small subunit ribosomal RNA", at positions 28 to 507 of the family's 1533-position model. The record is from RNAcentral.